GUGAGUGUGCAUGUGUGUGUAUGUGUGUGUGAGUGUGCAUGAGUGUGUAUGUGUGUAGGUGAGUGUGCAUGUGUGUGUAUGUGUGUGGGUGAGUGUGGAGGUGAGUGUGUAUGUGUGUGUAUGUGUGUGUAUGUGUGGAGGUGAGUGUGCAUGUGUGUGUGUAUGUGUGGAGGUGAGUGUGCAUGUGUGUGUAUGUGUGGAGGUGAGUGUGUAUGUGUGUGUAUGUGUGUAGGUGAGUGUGCAUGUGUGUGCAUGUGUGUAGGUGAGUGU
Molecule: long non-coding RNA, 270 nt
Organism: Ictalurus punctatus (channel catfish)
Lineage: Eukaryota; Metazoa; Chordata; Actinopteri; Siluriformes; Ictaluridae
Source: Ensembl